Molecule: ribosomal RNA, 502 nt
Filed under: uncultured bacterium
Lineage: Bacteria
Description: bacterial SSU rRNA
Rfam family: Bacterial small subunit ribosomal RNA
Source: RNAcentral
UGAACGCUGGCGGCGUGCUUAACACAUGCAAGUCGAACGAGAACCCUUUAGCUUGCUAAAGAUAGUAAAGUGGCGUACGGGUGAGUAACGCGUGGGUAAUCUACCUCCGAAUUGGGGAUAACAUUGCGAAAGCGAUGCUAAUACCGAAUAAUAUCUUUGAAGUUUCGGCUUUUAAGAUCAAAGGUGGUCUCUACAUGUAAGCUACUGUUUGGAGAUGAGCCCGCGUACCAUUAGCUUGUUGGUAGGGUAAUGGCCUACCAAGGCUACGAUGGUUAGCUGGUCUGAGAGGAUGAUCAGCCACACUGGAACUGACACACGGUCCAGACUCCUACGGGAGGCAGCAGUGAGGAAUUUUGCGCAAUGGGGGAAACCCUGACGCAGCAACGCCGCGUGAGUGAUGAAGGCUUUCGGGUCGUAAAGCUCUGUCAAGUGGGAAGAAACUGGAAGAUGCAAAUACCAUCUUUCACUGACGGUACCACUGAAGGAAGCACCGGCUAACUCC